RNAcentral lists this long non-coding RNA (709 nucleotides) under Medicago truncatula (barrel medic). Its description in RNAcentral is "long non-coding RNA (MTRU_LNC008069)". Lineage: Eukaryota; Viridiplantae; Streptophyta; Magnoliopsida; Fabales; Fabaceae. The record is from RNAcentral.
CCAGCAUGAUCACAAAACUAAACUUUCAAAUCAUAUCAUAAAGAACAGGAAGUGUCAUUCAUUCUUCUAUGUUAUUCAUCUGGUUUGUCUAACUUCCUUCAUCCUUCUUCUAUGCCAUUCUUCCAAUCCUAAAAACAUCAAGUAAAAAUAUGAGCACAAAAAGAUCAAAACAAGUGCACCAUAAACAUGAGCACAAAAAAGAUCAAAAUAAGUACAUUUUGAAAGGGACUUUUUACCAAAAUUAUGGAGAUGAUCUUUGGGGACAGUUGCGGCUGUCAUGAUGCACAUACUCACCGCAUGCCAAACCCACCAUUGAACAGCAAUAAAACCAACAAGAAAAUAGAAAGAAAAAAAAAACAGCUAAUACACACCCAUAUAUAAACCCAAUAUCAUCCCAUGAAAAGAAAAAAAAGUUACAUAACUCAAUAGUUGAAUAUGAGGAGAUAUAACAAGGCAAAUGAAACUUCAUAGAAAAAAGAUAUAUUUUAGGGAUCGAUAGUUGAAUAUGAUUAAUAGUUAGAUGGCAAAUGAAUUUAAGCCAUACUAAUUAUAAUAUACCUGAGGAAUUUGAAAAGAAGUUGAUGUAUCUUUGUCCAUGAAGAAUGAUGAACGUAAUUCAAUAGAAGUGCAAGUUGUCCGAAUCAAAUUGAUGUAUCUUUAUCCAUGGAGUGCAACGUUUGGUUGUAUUUGGUCGGAAGAAGUAGUGAUG